GUUGCAUGUGAGUCUCUCAAGUGGAAAUGGAGAAGAAGCACAAAUAAAGACAUCUGUAAUGCACACCGGUGUAUGAAAAGGAUGUUUUGAUCUCAAACAAAAACGUCCAGGAGGACAGAAGCGUGAUCAGUCACCAGCAGAGAAGUGUUUGGUGGACAGCUUUGCGUACGCUGGGUUAUGUGGAGUGUCUUUGGGCCAGCUCUUUCAAGGAUCUGAGCAAAAAAACAUGUUCGAAUGUUCUGACACCUUCCUGUCCAUCUUGCAUGCGGAGCCACUGCUCAGAGCCGGAGCUUUACCCAUCACUCAGGAUCUUGUGUCAUUCUCAGUUAAAGAUGGACAUUAUGAUGCCAGGGCUCGAGUUCUGAUCCGACAUGUCAGCUGUCUGCUGCAUGUGACCCAACAGCAGCUGGAGGAUUCUGAAGAGACUCUCGGAGAGAAAUUGAGAGAGAGAAGAGUCAUCAAGAAGGCAGAAGAAAGAGAGAGGUCGUAA
Molecule: long non-coding RNA, 490 nt
Organism: Cyprinus carpio (common carp)
Lineage: Eukaryota; Metazoa; Chordata; Actinopteri; Cypriniformes; Cyprinidae
Source: Ensembl